RNAcentral lists this unclassified non-coding RNA (264 nucleotides) under Glomus sp. Its description in RNAcentral is "partial contains 5.8S ribosomal RNA and internal transcribed spacer 2". The stretch from base 1 to 71 matches the Rfam family "5.8S ribosomal RNA", at positions 84 to 154 of the family's 154-position model. The record is from RNAcentral. Lineage: Eukaryota; Fungi; Glomeromycota; Glomeromycetes; Glomerales; Glomeraceae.
GUGAAUCAUCGAAUCUUUGAACGCGAAUUGCACUCUCUGGUAUUCCGGAGAGUAUGCCUGUUUGAGGGUCAGUUUAAAUAAAAAUCGGUGUUGUUGCUGCCUUUCGUGGUGACGCACCGGAUUUGGGUCGUCUUUCCUUCGGUUAAGUGACCUAAAAUGUUUCAUGAUUUUUUCUAACUUAUUUAAAUGACUUUACUUACGUUUGCGAUAUCGAAUACUCGUUGUGGUCCUCCUCAUGAUUCGCUCCUCUAAUUUUUCAGCAAA